ACAACAACAACAACAAAAAACCCUAUAGAUUAAAAGUUCACAAAAAUCUUAAAUUUUUCCAACUAAACGCAGUUCCUGACCAAAGAGCAAAACUCUAGUACUGGACCUCUCUGUGACAAGAAGACAAAGGAGUCACAUGGUAAGAAGUCAACAGAGUGAUGACGGCAAUCUGAAAUGCAAGAAUAUGUUUCUAGAGAUUAGUCUCCUAGGAAAUAAUAAGACUGUAACAACCUGGUGUUUAUGAUAUAAAUUGGAGUAUUUGUAAAUUAAUUAUAUAUACCCUGUAUGUGUAACACUCUCCAGGCUGAUCAGUUUAUAAAAGGCUUUUCAACCGCUGAUGUGAAGAAAAUACAACUUUUUAGCUUGUUAAGCAGCCAUUGUGAGUAAUGACCUUCCCCGAAUUCAUCCAGAACCCCUUCUCCCAUCCCCUUGUCCAAAUAACACACAGAUCGUCACAUCUCAUUACUGUCACGUAGGGUAGCUGCUUUUAGUAUGUAUGAUUGAGGAAUUAGUAAGAACGGGGGCCUCUCCACUGUUCUGGAAACCUCACCCAAUCAAGAGUUAGGCUUCAAGGUCACCGGGUCGGGGCAGCCGGCUCCACGGUAAGAGCAUCCAAAAGGACUUUUGUCAAGAUAAGGGUGGACGGAGAUCCCUUGGUGGUCUCCCGCAUUAUCCUGAUCAACUGGAAGUCCAGAGUGGCACCAGACAGAUUUACUACUUAGGAAAAGAGGUAAAUCACAGACGGCACACGUACCUUCUCUUUCAGGAAGACCUCCUUCAAACGAUACAAACCUCCAGUUACAAAAUACAUCAGUUCUGGGGGCCUAACGUACAGCCUGGUGAUUACAGUUAGUAAUAGGGCGCUGCACAUUUGACAGUUGCUGAGGGACCAGAUCUCAAAAAUUCUCAUCACAAGAAAGAAAUCGUAACAUGUAUGGGGAUGCAUGUUAACUAGACCUACUGUGGUGGUGAUCUGAUGAUAUAUGGAAAUAUCAAAUUCUUAUGUUAUGUAAACUAAUAUAAUGUUAGUGUAUAUAUAUAACUAAUACACUAUUAUAUGUCUGUUAUACGUCAACGAGAAAAAGAUCUUCCCUACGCCCCAGGCUGCAUCUCGGGAAUGAGAAUCGCCCAGUGAAACAGAUACAUCCGAUUUCUGAUAUCUGCCUUCGUACCAGCUCUAGAGAGUCACCCUAGUUACUAAACCCUCUGAGGCCGUGCAUCCUCCUGGUGAUCAAUGUAGUCUGUCCCAAAUUAAAGACAUUAAGGGAAGGACUGUCGGUUCACCGCUGGAAUGGAGUUUUUCUCUCCUGCUACAUGCAAACAAGAAAGCACGGCGCCUCCAUGACCACUGGCAGGCACUGGCAAUGGCAGAAAAUAAGACUGAGCACAAAGUUGAGGUCAGUGAGGGUGACGGGAAGGGCCGACUGAUGAGAAGAUUCACAAGGGUGGAGUGAAGGGUAGAGUGAAGUGAGGCUCCUGACCACAAGCUUGAAGGAGAUACUCCACACCUGCAUGACCCUAGUCGAGGCCCUGACUCACAGGACCCCAAAUGGCAAGGCCUACAAAUCUACACUUUAUUUCAGAAGAAAAGACCCGAUACAGCAACAGUAUUAAGCUCAAGAGUUUCAUCACAACCAACGGCUUCCUCAAAGCCAGAGGUCACGAGAGGCCAGGUUCAAACUCAAAUUCUCCUCCAUGUGCCUUCCCUCUUGGAUCAGGAACCACCUGACCUGGGCCUGGACCCCCUCAAAAGCAGUGUCCCAAGGAGCUUCAGUAGGGGAAUCCUGACACUCUGCUGAUCACCUGAGCACCGCCUUGGUGUGUAACGGGCUCGGCGGGAGAACUUUCCAGGAGUCCCAGGGCACCUCGUCAGGCUCCAGACCAGAUGCACGCCGUCGAUCCCACUGCUAUCUCUCAACAAUGCCUACGAGCCGGUACAAACAAUCAGAAAUCAUGGUUACAAAGCCACACUCUUAAUCAGGAUGUUUCAUGUAAGCCACGGAGGCCAACCCCGGGCUUGCUGGAAUGUCACACUGGCCGUAGACGGACAGACGCCUGACUCUGUGAUGACCUCACCGAGCAGCUAACCAACCAUCUCUGGAGAAGCUCCUCUUUCCGGUUUUCUUAUUAAGAGACAAUACAUAUAUUUCAUACUGUUCACACUGUAUAAAGUACCCUAACUUACACAGGAGAACACUCCUUUAUCCGCACUUAUUUGGAGAAAGAUGGGUAAUAAGGCAAAGUAUUCAUCAAGAGAAAGGCUCUGUUUAGGCAAACAUUGGCCCAAGUAUUGCCAAGGAUUUUUGGUACUCUUGUACCUAGGAGAAGGAUCUUUCUUUAGAGGCAGGUAGAUGUGCUUCAGAAAUAAUCCUACCACAGGCACAGUGCGUUAGUACGACGCAGCGCUUGGUUCCCUGAGUAGGUUUUGUAGAAGGACAUACUUCAGUCCUGAUGAUCUUACAUCUUUUAUCUCAACUUACUCCCUUUUUUUACAGUUCGAUUUUGAUAAUAGUUUGCAUUUGGUUUCACAUUACUAAUUUCAUUUUUCUUAUAGAAAUUGAUCAUUACACAAUCGUUUAAGCAGUUCUUUGCACCCAGCAGAGGUCCAUACGGGGACAUCUCUACAUUUAAGUGACAAUUUGGUUGAGGAACUACAUAUUCACAUACUUAUGACCUCCUCUGAAAUCAAACUGUCCUUCGAUUUUAGCCUUUCAUCAACUGAACUAAUUUAAAUAUUGAAUAUUUUUGCCUAGUUUUCUAUAGCUGAAACUUUCACACUUGUUACUUCUUAUGAUGUAAGCUAUUUCAAACUUUAUGGUAAGCAAGAACAAACUAGGAAAGAUUUUUUUUUAAAAAACCACCUACUCAAAGUCUAGACACAAAUAUUUUAUAAGAAGGUAACUCAGUAAGCUAUGCAAUGUCUGCCUGUUAGAACUGAGCAGCUGGUGGACUGGACCUGUGAACACCAGAAAGCAGGGAGGUUUGCAAUAGCUCCACUGUCAGGAUAUUUUAAUUUCCCUGUGUGACCAUGGUUUUGGUUGAAAAAAAAAAAAAACCCUCAAAAUUCUUUUAAUGGAUCUGGAAUAUAAAA
Molecule: long non-coding RNA, 3091 nt
Organism: Canis lupus familiaris (dog)
Lineage: Eukaryota; Metazoa; Chordata; Mammalia; Carnivora; Canidae
Exons: 2
Source: RefSeq, a predicted model, not a curated record